Molecule: long non-coding RNA, 1110 nt
Organism: Suricata suricatta (meerkat)
Lineage: Eukaryota; Metazoa; Chordata; Mammalia; Carnivora; Herpestidae
Exons: 2
Source: RefSeq, a predicted model, not a curated record
AUCUGGGCAAGAUGUACAUGCUACACCCUGUCCCCACCGUCCUCCCAAGUGUCCUGGUCACUGCCUGGGCCUCGGUUUGGACCUUCCACAUGUCAGGUCAGAGGAAAGUGUGCCUGAGUGAGAAUCACCAGUAUUGUUACAGAUCAUGUAAACUUGAUCCCUGUGCUUUGUGUCUGAAGAGACUCAAGUACUGAGCGUCAACAUGUGAAGUGGAGGAGAGUGGAACAAGCCUGAUUCUCCCGAGUCCUAGUCCUGAGGAAAAAAGUGGACGACCUAUACUUCUGGCCAAGACAGAGUAACAGGGACUGGAUUGAUGACCCGCCCGCAGUGAUGAAUAUAUAAAACCAGGAACAAAUCAUGUUUAAGACCCUUGAUUCAUGCCUAAGGGACAGUAAACAAAGGAGCCCAUGAUUUUUUGAGAUUAGCGCCUUCAGAGAAUUUUCUGGCUGGGGUCCAGGGAGUAGGAACUGAAGCCAAGAAGGACCACUAGUUCCCUGCGGUGGGGAGAGGAAAUGGAGAUUCCAGAGUAGCGACAACAGCUCAAGUUUGCAGGACUGAGAAUUCCCGACAGGUGCCAAAAAUGCCCGGGAAGCAGUCUGGAAAGUGUGAACGACCACUCGUGUUGGAGGGAAGUCCUACCACCCGGGAAGGACCUUCUGAGAAGAUGGAAGAACUGUGCUCAGGGCAGCCUCUGGUUCGGAGGGCGUAGCUGCUGCCACGGCACAGACCCCCUCCUAACUCCUGGGGUUCGGGGAGGAGGAAGGUGGGCGUCUUCUAUCCUGGGAGUGGGUGUCUACCUAGACUAAAAUCCCAUGCUCUGCCCUGGCCUGAAAGUCCUGAAAGCAAGAGCCAGAGCAAUUCAACUGCUUGUAAGCCAUGUAAGCCUGUCCUAGUACAAAAUACAUUUAUCCAAAACAGUUACUCAGCACCCAAGAGAAACUCCCACGAGGUCUGACGGCCGACUGAGAUAACUGAGCAUACAAAACAAAAAAUUCAUAAUUAGAAAAACUCAGUCAAAACAAGAACAGGCAUGAGUCAAAAGGACUGAAGUAAUUAUACCUUGCAUACAUUUAAAAGAUGUGGAAGGUAGGAAUAAAAACUCAAACUGAA